RNAcentral lists this long non-coding RNA (1213 nucleotides) under Mus spicilegus (steppe mouse). Its description in RNAcentral is "lncRNA (ENSMSIG00000000357.1)". The record is from RNAcentral. Lineage: Eukaryota; Metazoa; Chordata; Mammalia; Rodentia; Muridae.
UGAGAACCCGCCACCCAGGGAGUCCUGAUCCUGACCCAGAACAAGCACACCAUAGGGCGGCACGGGGUGGCCCGUGCUGAGUCCCUGAGCCCUUGCACGUUGCCUCCCAUCCGUGAACAGCUUCCAGUGACCGCUGCGCUGCUCCCACGGAAGAUGGCGUUGAAGGGCGCAUGGUGGCCGCCUCCGGUUCCGCGAAGGUGCGCAGCUGCAGUGCGUUGGCCACAGCUGGCGUGGCCAGGGAGAAGAGUGGCCACCUCGGUUGCUGUCUCGUCCCACUGAACAUGCACGCAAGCCGUGAGCGCCGCCAGCGCGGGCAGUACCGUGGGCAGCCGUGUUGUCCUGUCAGCAGUCCUCUUGUGGAAGACCAACGCAGCCGUGACCUCACUGAGCUGGGAGCCAAAGCCGUGGGGCUAGAGCUCAGGAAAAGGGAUGGCAUUUGCUUGUACAAAAGGAUGGUCUCCAGGAGCGUCUUCAGGAUUGCAGACUGGGAACCGUAACCCUGGUAUUUGUUUGAGUCAGGGUCAGCCAUGUAGCUAUGCUGGCCUUUGAGUCCUCCUACCUGAAGAUGCAACUGUGGACUGCCACACUCAUCCAUUUCCAUACCCCACCCCGUUUCUUAAGAUCUUUGACGACACUGUCCCCUCUACCUGGAUUAGCCUCCCACACCCUCAGUUGUCCCUUCUUCAGGAUAGAUUCUCAGUCCCCAGCCCCCACCAACAUUAGUGGUAGGCCUAUCCUAGCCCAGAUGUACAAACUGGGGAUAUGGUAGCCAUGGGUGAUUUGGAGACUGCUCCUGGCAAGCUACAGGGAUUGGCCUUCUGGGUCUCUGUCCCAGCCCUGGCAUGCACAAAUGACUUAGACAACACACUGUCCUUGCCUCAUGCCAUUUGGGAGUCUGGCCCCUCACAAUAAUAAUGCAUACCCUUUUUUUAUAUAAAAAUACGUCCCGGGCUCAGGAGGACUCAGAAGUGCACAUUCUCGGGACCCUGAGAAUCGCCAAUUUAUUGUAGUUUUGCCACUUUAAAAAUAAUACCUGUUUCUACCUGUCCCAUCUCAACAAACGUGGGUAGGAAAUAGUAGCUGGGAGCUGAGGUUCAAUUAUCACUAUAUGCAGUGUGGACCGUAGUGUCCCUUCUGUCUGCACCCUCCAGCCCCGUGUGGCCCACCUCUCUCCCUCAAAUAAAUUUGACUGCCACCACGGGUCUCCUCUCCA